AAAGGAAGAUUAAUACCGCAUAAAGCCAAGUUUCACAUGAAAUUUGGAUGAAAGGAGUAAUUCGCUUUGAGAUGGACCCGCGGCGCAUUAGUUAGUUGGUGGGGUAAUGGCCUACCAAGACAGCGAUGCGUAGCCGACCUGAGAGGGUGAUCGGCCACAUUGGAACUGAGAUACGGUCCAGACUCCUACGGGAGGCAGCAGUGGGGAAUAUUGCACAAUGGGCGAAAGCCUGAUGCAGCAACGCCGCGUGAGUGAUGAAGGUCUUCGGAUUGUAAAGCUCUGUCUAUUGGGACGAUAAUGACGGUACCAAAGGAGGAAGCCACGGCUAACUACGUGCCAGCAGCCGCGGUAAUACGUAGGUGGCAAGCGUUGUCCGGAUUUACUGGGCGUAAAGGGUGCGUAGGCGGAUGUUUAAGUGAGAUGUGAAAUACCCGGGCUUAACUUGGGUGCUGCAUUUCAAACUGGAUAUCUAGAGUGCAGGAGAGGAGAAUGGAAUUCCUAGUGUAGCGGUGAAAUGCGUAGAGAUUAGGAAGAACACCAGUGGCGAAGGCGAUUCUCUGGACUGUAACUGACGCUGAGGCACGAAAGCGUGGGUAGCAAACAGGAUUAGAUACCCUGGUAGUCCACGCCGUAAACGACGAGUACUAGGUGUAGGAGGUAUCGACCCCUUCUGUGCCGCAGUAAACACAUUAAGUACUCCGCCUGGGAAGUACGAUCGCAAGAUUAAAACUCAAAGGAAUUGACGGGGGCCCGCACAAGCAGCGGAGCAUGUGGUUUAAUUCGAAGCAACGCGAAGAACCUUACCUGGACUUGACAUCCCCUG
This 823-nucleotide ribosomal RNA is filed under the name uncultured Clostridium sp. RNAcentral describes it as "bacterial SSU rRNA". It matches the Rfam family "Bacterial small subunit ribosomal RNA", at positions 154 to 993 of the family's 1533-position model. Lineage: Bacteria; Bacillati; Bacillota; Clostridia; Eubacteriales; Clostridiaceae. The record is from RNAcentral.